RNAcentral lists this ribosomal RNA (514 nucleotides) under uncultured bacterium. Its description in RNAcentral is "partial 16S ribosomal RNA". It matches the Rfam family "Bacterial small subunit ribosomal RNA", at positions 28 to 523 of the family's 1533-position model. The record is from RNAcentral.
GAUGAACGCUGGCGGCGUGCCUAAUACAUGCAAGUCGAGCGAAUGGAUUAAGAGCUUGCUCUUAUGAAGUUAGCGGCGGACGGGUGAGUAACACGUGGGUAACCUGCCCAUAAGACUGGGAUAACUCCGGGAAACCGGGGCUAAUACCGGAUAACAUUUUGAACCGCAUGGUUCGAAAUUGAAAGGCGGCUUCGGCUGUCACUUAUGGAUGGACCCGCGUCGCAUUAGCUAGUUGGUGAGGUAACGGCUCGCCAAGGCAACGAUGCGUAGCCGACCUGAGAGGGUGAUCGGCCACACUGGGACUGAGACACGGCCCAGACUCCUACGGGAGGCAGCAGUAGGGAAUCUUCCGCAAUGGACGAAAGUCUGACGGAGCAACGCUGCGUGAGUGAUGAAGGCUUUCGGGUCGUAAAACUCUGUUGUUAGGGAAGAACAAGUGCUAGUUGAAUAAGCUGGCACCUUGACGGUACCAACCAGAAAGCCACGGCUAACUACGUGCCAGCAGCCGCGGUAA